This 360-nucleotide ribosomal RNA is filed under the name uncultured Pseudomonas sp. RNAcentral's name for it is "bacterial SSU rRNA". It matches the Rfam family "Bacterial small subunit ribosomal RNA", at positions 1021 to 1382 of the family's 1533-position model. The record is from RNAcentral. Lineage: Bacteria; Pseudomonadati; Pseudomonadota; Gammaproteobacteria; Pseudomonadales; Pseudomonadaceae.
CGGGGACAGGGUGACAGGUGGUGCAUGGUUGUCGUCAGCUCGUGUCGUGAGAUGUUGGGUUAAGUCCCGUAACGAGCGCAACCCUUGUCCUAGUUACCAGCACGUUAUGGUGGGCACUCUAAGGAGACUGCCGGUGACAAACCGGAGGAAGGUGGGAUGACGUCAAGUCAUCAUGGCCCUUACGGCCUGGGCUACACACGUGCUACAAUGGUCGGUACAAAGGGUUGCCAAGCCGCGAGGUGGAGCUAAUCCCAUAAAACCGAUCGUAGUCCGGAUCGCAGUCUGCAACUCGACUGCGUGAAGUCGGAAUCGCUAGUAAUCGUGAAUCAGAAUGUCACGGUGAAUACGUUCCCGGGCCUU